AAAUUGAAGAGUUUGAUCAUGGCUCAGAUUGAACGCUGGCGGCAGGCCUAACACAUGCAAGUCGAACGGUAACAGGAAUCAGCUUGCUGAUUCGCUGACGAGUGGCGGACGGGUGAGUAAUGUCUGGGAAACUGCCUGAUGGAGGGGGAUAACUACUGGAAACGGUAGCUAAUACCGCAUAACGUCGCAAGACCAAAGAGGGGGACCUUCGGGCCUCUUGCCAUCGGAUGUGCCCAGAUGGGAUUAGCUAGUAGGUGGGGUAACGGCUCACCUAGGCGACGAUCCCUAGCUGGUCUGAGAGGAUGACCAGCCACACUGGAACUGAGACACGGUCCAGACUCCUACGGGAGGCAGCAGUGGGGAAUAUUGCACAAUGGGCGCAAGCCUGAUGCAGCCAUGCCGCGUGUAUGAAGAAGGCCUUCGGGUUGUAAAGUACUUUCAGCGGGGAGGAAGGGAGUAAAGUUAAUACCUUUGCUCAUUGACGUUACCCGCAGAAGAAGCACCGGCUAACUCCGUGCCAGCAGCCGCGGUAAUACGGAGGGUGCAAGCGUUAAUCGGAAUUACUGGGCGUAAAGCGCACGCAGGCGGUUUGUUAAGUCAGAUGUGAAAUCCCCGGGCUCAACCUGGGAACUGCAUCUGAUACUGGCAAGCUUGAGUCUCGUAGAGGGGGGUAGAAUUCCAGGUGUAGCGGUGAAAUGCGUAGAGAUCUGGAGGAAUACCGGUGGCGAAGGCGGCCCCCUGGACGAAGACUGACGCUCAGG
Molecule: ribosomal RNA, 761 nt
Filed under: Escherichia coli
Lineage: Bacteria; Pseudomonadati; Pseudomonadota; Gammaproteobacteria; Enterobacterales; Enterobacteriaceae
Description: bacterial SSU rRNA
Rfam family: Bacterial small subunit ribosomal RNA
Source: RNAcentral